GAUGAACGCUAGCUACAGGCUUAACACGUGCCAGUCGCGGGGCAGCAUGGGGGUUGCUUGCCAUCCCCGAUGGCGACCGGCGCACGGGUGAGUAACGCGUAUCCAACCUGCCCUUCACCACGGGAUAACCCGGCGAAAGUCGGACUAAUACCGUAUGUUGUCCAUUGACGGCAUCCGAUUUGGACGAAAGGCUUGGCGGUGAGGGAUGGGGAUGCGUCCGAUUAGCCAGACGGCGGGGUAACGGCCCACCGUGGCUACGAUCGGUAGGGGUUCUGAGAGGAAGGUCCCCCACACUGGAACUGAGACACGGUCCAGACUCCUACGGGAGGCAGCAGUGAGGAAUAUUGGUCAAUGGGCGUAAGCCUGAACCAGCCAAGUAGCGUGCAGGAUGACGGCCCUAUGGGUUGUAAACUGCUUUUAUGCGGGGAUAAAGUGGCCCACGUGUGGGCUUUUGCAGGUACCGCAUGAAUAAGGACCGGCUAAUUCCGUG
Molecule: ribosomal RNA, 490 nt
Filed under: uncultured bacterium
Lineage: Bacteria
Description: partial 16S ribosomal RNA
Rfam family: Bacterial small subunit ribosomal RNA
Source: RNAcentral